AGGGAAAGUUGAAAUAGAACUUUGCAGAGAGAGUUAACAGGGCGUGAAACCGUUAAUUGGCAAACGAAUCGGAGCCACGAAGUCGUUUCGCUGGUCAAUCCAAGUUCAGUUUGGGAUAGCAAUAUCUCGGGCGUAUUCUUGUUGGUUGGCCAUUGUAAGCGUACACUGCAACCAGUUAGACAAUUGGCGAUGGGCCAAGUUGGGUAGAAGCCUCGGUGACUACUUAACGAAGUGCUUGUUUGCUCUAACUAGUAGUGAUAUUGUGUUUCUUCGGGAACAUGGUGUUGCUGGGUUAGAGUAAGUGAACUAUCACCAAAUACUGACUGGCACAAUGAAACUUGCUCUUAUGAGCGUGAUACACAAUGCGGCUACUCGUGUCUAAUGUCUACACAGUCAACCGUAGGGUUUAAGUUCGGCAUUUUUGAAUUUGGGCUUGCUUUCUACCAGUGGGGCAACUCCUGGUGUUGGUAUUGUCACCAUCUAAUCGGGUGUCGACUUGAUUUUGCGUUGUUUGGAUGUGCUACGAUUGGAUGUUAGAUCGAAGUGGUUU
This 550-nucleotide ribosomal RNA is filed under the name Phyllocoptes fructiphilus. RNAcentral describes it as "partial large subunit ribosomal RNA". Lineage: Eukaryota; Metazoa; Arthropoda; Arachnida; Trombidiformes; Eriophyidae. The record is from RNAcentral.